Molecule: ribosomal RNA, 301 nt
Filed under: uncultured bacterium
Lineage: Bacteria
Description: partial 16S ribosomal RNA
Rfam family: Bacterial small subunit ribosomal RNA
Source: RNAcentral
CAGUCGCCGCGGUAAUACGGAGGGGGCUAGCGUUGUUCGGAAUUACUGGGCGUAAAGCGCACGUAGGCGGCUUUGUAAGUUAGAGGUGAAAGCCCGGAGCUCAACUCCGGAAUUGCCUUUAAGACUGCAGAGCUAGCAGGUGAGAGAGGUGAGUGGAAUUCCGAGUGUAGAGGUGAAAUUCGUAGAUAUUCGGAAGAACACCAGUGGCGAAGGCGGCUUACUGGCUCAUACUGGACGCUGAGGUGCGAAAGCGUGGGGAGCAAACAGGAUUAGAUACCCGAGUAGUCCCUGUCUCUUAUAA